Molecule: ribosomal RNA, 258 nt
Filed under: Acinetobacter baumannii
Lineage: Bacteria; Pseudomonadati; Pseudomonadota; Gammaproteobacteria; Moraxellales; Moraxellaceae
Description: partial 23S ribosomal RNA
Rfam family: Bacterial large subunit ribosomal RNA
Source: RNAcentral
AUUGUAGUGCAAGUGAAGAUGCUUGCUACCCGCGAUUGGACGGAAAGACCCCGUAGAGCUUUACUGUAGCUUAGCAUUGAAUCUCGGUAUUGUCUGUACAGGAUAGGUGGGAGACUUGGAAGCUUGGGCGUCAGCCUGAGUGGAGUCAUCCUUGGGAUACCACCCUGACAGUACUGGGGUUCUAACCGGCGGCCAUGAAUCUGGUCACGGGACAUUGUUAGGUGGGCAGUUUGACUGGGGCGGUCGCCUCCUAAAAAG